AAGAUUGUAUUUUUAGUGUCAUUUUUGUGCAUUGUAGUGGCCAGUGUCACAGGUCAGACACCUGCGGCUGCACCAGCCAAAGCACCAGUUGGUGCUAAGGCUACUACACCACCAGCUGCUGCUCCCACAAAGCCUAAAACUCCUGCCCCUGCUACUGCACCUGCCUCAGCUCCACCCACAGCUGUUUCUACUCCUCCAGCAGCUGCACCAGCCACUGCUCCUACUACCCCUGUUGUUACUCCACCUGUAUCAGCACCACCAGCUAAAACACCAGCUAGUUCUCCACCAGCUGCAGUGCCUGUGAGUUCACCACCACCAGCGGUUACACCGGUGCAAUCUCCACCAGCACCAGCUCCGGUAGCAGCGACACCACCAGCUGCAUCUGCUCCACCU
Molecule: long non-coding RNA, 393 nt
Filed under: Nicotiana tabacum (common tobacco)
Lineage: Eukaryota; Viridiplantae; Streptophyta; Magnoliopsida; Solanales; Solanaceae
Description: long non-coding RNA (NTAB_LNC004551)
Source: RNAcentral